ACGAGUCAGGCUCAGGCUCAAGCCGGCCCAGUUUCACCACCAAAGAAACCUAUGAACCCUAUGUCACCCCUGUUAGAUUCCACCCUGAUGAGCCCUAUAACAGCAUCCCCGAAUCCUCCAACAAUAAAGACACUUACUACUACAACAAGAAUGCCUACGAGUCCACUAAGCAGCAAAACUUGGGCGAGGCCAUUUUCACCGAGAAAGGAUGGAGCACCAAGGAAAACCAGAACAACAACUACUACAACGGCAACAAUGGUUACAACAAUGGCGAGAAGCAAGGCAUGAGCGAUACUAGGUACUUGGAGAAUGGAAAGUACUACUAUGACGUCAAGAGUGAGAACAACUAUUAUCCAAACCGGUUCGACAACUCAAGAGGAGUUGCUUCGAGGAACCAGUUCAAU
Molecule: long non-coding RNA, 404 nt
Filed under: Gossypium barbadense (sea-island cotton)
Lineage: Eukaryota; Viridiplantae; Streptophyta; Magnoliopsida; Malvales; Malvaceae
Description: long non-coding RNA (GBAR_LNC003806)
Source: RNAcentral